UACGGAGGAUCCAAGCGUUAUCCGGAUUUAUUGGGCGUAAAGGGAACGCAGGCGGUCUUUUAAGUCUGAUGUGAAAGCCUUCGGCUUAACCGGAGUAGUGCAUUGGAAACUGGGAGACUUGAGUGCAGAAGAGGAGAGUGGAACUCCACGUGUAGCGGUGAAAUGCGUAGAUAUAUGGAAGAACACCAGUGGCGAAAGCGGCUCUCUGGUCUGUAACUGACGCUGAGGUUCGAAAGCGUGGGUAGCAAACAGG
This 253-nucleotide ribosomal RNA is filed under the name uncultured bacterium. Its description in RNAcentral is "partial 16S ribosomal RNA". It matches the Rfam family "Bacterial small subunit ribosomal RNA", at positions 524 to 776 of the family's 1533-position model. The record is from RNAcentral.